Molecule: ribosomal RNA, 253 nt
Filed under: uncultured bacterium
Lineage: Bacteria
Description: partial 16S ribosomal RNA
Rfam family: Bacterial small subunit ribosomal RNA
Source: RNAcentral
UACAGAGGGUGCGAGCGUUGUCCGGAAUCACUGGGCGUAAAGGGCGCGUAGGUGGCCCGACAAGUCUGUGGUGAAAGCUCGACGCUCAACGUCGAGUCGGCCAUAGAUACUGUUGGGCUGGAGCACUGUAGAGGCUCAUGGAAUUCCGGGUGUAGCGGUGGAAUGCGUAGAGAUCCGGAAGAACACCGGUGGCGAAGGCGGUCUGCUGGGCAGUUGCUGACACUGAGGCGCGACAGCGUGGGGAGCAAACAGG